Molecule: non-coding RNA, 228 nt
Organism: Vicia faba (fava bean)
Lineage: Eukaryota; Viridiplantae; Streptophyta; Magnoliopsida; Fabales; Fabaceae
Source: the annotation of a GenBank genome assembly
AUGUUUAUUAUCUGCAAUGACCUGCUGAGAAUAUUCAUUUAUGGUGUAAUUGGUUGUGAUGAGAAAGUGAGAAAUGAGAAAAAUGCAAGAGAGCGUGAAAAGAGAGAGAGAGAGCUACAACAAUCAUGCUUAUACACUAAUAUACAGAAACUAAAUUUCAAGUUAGAUUUCAAAGUCCUUUUAAAUUGGUGUUUCACGAUUAGUUUAAUGAUCUGUUGUAGUUUGUGA